This 656-nucleotide ribosomal RNA is filed under the name uncultured fungus. RNAcentral's name for it is "eukaryotic LSU rRNA". It matches the Rfam family "Eukaryotic large subunit ribosomal RNA", at positions 24 to 664 of the family's 3401-position model. The record is from RNAcentral. Lineage: Eukaryota; Fungi.
CCCGCUGAACUUAAGCAUAUCAGUAAGCGGAGGAAAAGAAACUAACAAGGAUUCCCUUAGUAACGGCGAGUGAAGCGGGAAGAGCUCAAAUUUUAAAUCUGGCACCUUUGGUGUCCGAAUUGUAUUUGAUAGUGUCUACUUAGGAUGGUUAGCAGCUAGUCCAAGUCCUUUGGAAAGAGGCAUCAAAGAGGGUGACAAUCCCGUUUAGGCUUACUGCUAACUGUCAACAUCUAGGAGGCAUGACGAGUCGGGUUGUUUGGGAAUGCAGCCCAAAAUGGGAGGUACAUUUCUCCUAAAGCUAAAUACAGGCAAGAGACCGAUAGCGAACAAGUACCGUGAGGGAAAGAUGAAAAGAACUUUGAAAAGAGAGUUAAAUAGUACGUGAAAUUGUUAAAAGGGAAACGUUUGAGAUCAGUGAUGUUUAUUGCAGCUUCAGGAUGUCCCUAACCGGACGUUUGCAUUGCUGUGUAAACGCGUUGACUCCCAUUUCCGAGUCCGGUAAAGGCUUGAGGAAAGGUGGCCUCACCUUCGGGUGACGGCUUUAUAGUCCUCUUGAGAUACGGACUUGGGGAUGGGCGAAAGGCACCUCCUUUCUUAAGGACUGUAACCAGUCCAAGUCGACAAAAUGAGCUCAACCGACCCGUCUUGAAACACGG